AAACAGUGAACGAAAGCCAGUGUAGUGUGUCAGACCAUACUGGAGGCUGAGCUGAGAAGCCCAGGAGUCAUUACUGUAAAGAAGUUCGUCUUGGAAAUCUUCAAAAAAAAAAAAUUUAAGAUAACAUUUGAACUGACAGGAGUUGUUUCUCCCAGGACAACCUGCCCACAUCCACAGGCUGAGUGGUCAUUGAGUGGUGUGUAAGUGGUAUAUCGUCACUUGUUUGCCAUGGACAUCUGCAACCUUGAUGACCUCUUUCUGUGAACAUAUGUGCUUCUUGGAUACGGAAAGAAGUACCAAUAACAGUAGUCUGGCUUUCAAGACUCCAUCAUGCACAACUAGUCCUCUUGCCUAUCCAGAGGUGUCUCCUACGUGUGCUCUAAUACUUGUACCUCUGUAAGAACAACAACAGGAAAGAAGAAAAAAUGGUGGCAUCAGUGCCAGUGCAAUAUGGUGUCUGCUAUAAGGUAUUGGCUCCUGAGUGUGCCUAAGUUUGUAAUGUGAUGUAUGUGUUUGUGAGCUAAUUAUUAAAACUGACCUAGUCCUAGAUGAGGUGCUCCAAAUACCUUAAUCUGGCUUUAACCUGUGUGCCUGUGUUUUUGAAACUAAUUCAGCAUCAGCUCUCUUGCCUGCUAAUACUCAGCAUUUGUUGGUUUAAAGGUAAAUAUUCUAGGAUAUCAGUUUUUUUACUGACCAGUUAAGCCAUGAAGAAACAUGUGUUUAAUUUGCAUAAAUUGUUGUGGGGAAAUUGUAGCUACCUGAUGUAGUCAUGAUGUCCUCUUUAACUGUAGCUACCUGAUGUAGUCAUGAUGUCCUCUUUAACUGUAGCUACCUGAUGUAGUCAUGAUGUCAUCUUUAACUGUAGCUACCUGAUGUAGUCAUCUUCUGUAGACUCAUCAUGUGCUGUUUUGUAGUUAUGUUGAUUCUUCAGUCAUUUACCUGACUGCGUCUGUGGGCUGUUGUUUGUCUGAAUGUGAUUAAAGAGUGAGUUCAUAGUUUUCAUUUGAAAUAAAAUUCUAUUUAAAAGAAAUCAUUGAAAAGAGUUUGCACAGAUACGCAUUUAAGUGCAUGGAAAUUGGCGGGCGGUUGAGACAUCUGGUGUUGUCUCAAUCGAGAUGAAGAUAAAGAUUUAAUCAUCUAAAUAUUUGGGAUGAUUUUUGGCUCGGAUGCUCAUGUACACCAGAGACAUUCCAAUCUAUCAAUGUAUCAUCAUGCCUCUAUCACAGUCCAUUUCUAUGUAAUGUAAUAUUUUUGUCUGAAGCUUUUAUUCAUUCAUUUAUGUUCUGUAACUGCUUUAUCCUGUGGCAUAAAUAUACUUCUGGUAGAUUUUUUUUCUUGUUGUUGGUCAAGAGCCUAUAGCACAAUUCGAGUCCCACAUUUCAUUGUGUGCUUUUAUGCAGAUUGCAGUGGAUUCACUUUCACCGGGGGGAUGACUAUGUGCACUAGAAAAUAAAGAGCACAUUUGGCAGGCAGUGCUGAAGUGGUUGCUGUGUUAUUGCAUACCACGGUGUUAGGCGUGGAGGAAAAGCUGAUGACGCACAUUGAGGGGGAAAUGCACUUUUUUGCUUCAAGAGAGGCGUUCUGGCCAUGAGUCAUGCACGCACAAUACAGUACAUGUGCAGCAACCCUCUAUUUAAAUGUUUACUCAACCAGUGCUUUUACCCCUUAAAGCAGUAUAAAGAAGGGUCUGUAUACUGUCUGUACACGUCACUGUCACUAUUCGUUGAGGCUUGGUUAACCAUUAUAAUAGACCAGGACUAUGUAACAAAAAUAAGUCUGGGCAAUAAGAUAAUAUAAUAUUGAUAUCAUGAUAUAUCACAAUAUGAUUUUUCGGGUUGUUGUAGAUAUUUACUUUAAAAAUAAAUGUAAUUACAUUUAUUAUUAUUAUUUACAUGUAACUGAUUGCAGAUGGGUGGUGAAGGCAAGACUGACCGGAAAAAGCCAUCGGACGUCACUAGAGAUGAAUUGUUGAAAGCAAAUCAGGUUUUGACCAGAAUUUCGUUUUUCAGCCAAGAAUAUACUUUGAAACCUCUACCUAAAGAAAACAUGAAUAUAUUUUAUACAAAAAGAUAUGAAAAGGAUUUAACUUGGGUUAUUUUCUAACCUUGCCUAGUUGUGAGGAGUGUGAGAACAUUUGAGGAGUCUAAUAGAUGCAGUAGUAAAAACAAUUAGUCUGCAUAAGACGUCAAAAACCUUGGUAGUUAAGUGUCAUAUCAGGUCAUAACCUGAUACUGGCUAUCAAAAUGUCUGCGAUGCACCUGGUCAUAUCUUCAUCAAAACGAAGAGAGCUUACACACUUUGUACAGAUGACAGAGGAUGUUUGUCAAAACAUGAAAUGGCCUAAUAACUGACAGUAAUAGCAAGAACUAGUCAACAGAACUGACUGAAUUAAUUACUGAGUUUAUCUCCACCAAUGUUAGAUCGGUUAGAGAUCAGUCAGGUGAAGAAAGGAUGAUGAGAGCCCAUAAGUGUCUUUUACCCCAGGUGAUUUGACAGACUGGUGUGAUGCUGAUAGUCAUAGUGGUAACUCAUUUCCCAUUUUAAAGAUGUAGAAAAGUUUACAAUGUGUAAGAAAAUGCUUUUAUCCUGAUCGGGGUCUCUGUGGAUCCGGAGAUUAUCUUGGUAACACUUGAUGCGAGGCUUUUUGGAACACCUUCUAUCAGUUGUGAAUUAGCAAGUUCGCAAAAAAUUGCCAACCACAGUAUCUUUUCAAACUGUUGUUCCAGCGGUGUUAUAGAGUUGCUGAUUGUAGUCAGUCAAGAGUGCCUGCUGCCUUCUCCCGUUUUACACAAGUGGCUGAUCGAUAGAGAAUGCCAAGCUUCCCACUCGGAGGACAGGACCAGUUGUGCUCUCUCUGCCACCUGCCUGUGGAUGACUAUGACAUCAUAGAAUUUAGGAUCUCCUGACAAUAGUGCAAAUGGUGUCCCUCUUGUUUCAUUUGUCCUCCUUUGAUUGUUGAAUUAUUUUGAGAUUAUUAAUUAAACUGGGCAGCAGGCUAGUUUUUUCAGUACCAUUCAUUGUUGGAUCAAGAAGGUUUUGUCGGAACUGUCUCAAAUAAAUCUAAAAUCUCCACCAGCAAAGUUGGUUGUCUUGUCGUGAAUUGUGGACGCAGACUGAUAACUCAUUAUACCCACUAACUCAUGAUACCCAUUACUCAAUGUAUUUUUUUUUUUUAAAUGAAGUGGACAAGCUAUACCAGGAUUCUAUACCAUAUGCUGUAUCCUGUAUAUCUAGUAAGGAGCAAUUUGGAAUUCAAAUGUUAGACCCUGGAAAAGUGUGAACUGUUAAGAGAGAAACAAAAGAAAAUGAAUAAAUUUUCCUUCAAUUUAAAACAAUAUAAUAAACAGUUGAUCUUAAAUAGCCUCGUCAUACUAAAUAACAAAAUGGUUAAAAGUUUAGUGAGAAAUCAUGGUAGUGUAGCAUGUAGAAAUGCUGCCUCACAGCUUUAGGUCCCUGUUUCAGUCCUGAGCUCGAGGUUACUGUCUGUGUGGAGUUCCACAUGUUCUCACCUUGUAUGUUUGGGUUCUCUGAUUUUCCUCUGCGUGUGCACGCGUGUAUGUGUGUGCGUAUUAGAAAGAGAGAUUUCCUCUGUUGGACAAGUGUCCCAUCUACGGUGUAUUUCUGGAUAUGCUUCGGAUCCACUGUGAACUUGAGGCUGAAUGAAUUGCAUAGUAUAAGGCCUAGUUCAUGCAGGCUUUUAAAAGAAUGAGUGAGAAAAUCAAUGAAAAAAUAGUAAACGUGAAUAUAAAACACUGUAAGUACAGCAUGUGGAUUAAUGUUAGGGUUCCCUUUUCCAUUUUUCACAAGAACCAUUUAUUUCAUGGUCUAUGGAAAAUAGACAAAAUGGAAAUUCCAGCUUAGAAAGAAUUUAUGAAGACAGAAUGCCCUCAGCAUAGUAUGACAUGAUUUGUUUUCCAUUAAUUAAAAAAAAAAAUACAAAGACUUCUUGUUCCUUUGGUACUGAUUAUAACUUGAAGCAAAGCAGUCAUGCCCUGAUCAUCAGUUGGAUCCCUAGAAUGAAUUACCUAAAGCCUUCCUGUAAUUGUUUUCCUAUUAGACCAUUACGGAACUGAUAGCUGAAGCUCUCAGCGUGGGAAAUGGCAGGGGAUCUAGACAGAGAAAAAAAAGAAUUAAUUGCGUUUUUCCAUUUUACGUACUAAAGCUCAGUUCUCAGGAAUCCCAAAGUCCUAUGUAUCUUGAAUCAAGUUCAAAUGUUAUUAUUUUGUCAAAGAUUUAUUAUUUUAAUGUGGCAAAGCCAAUGGAAAGAAUUAAUGUACCUGUCUCUGUCCCUAAUGAAUAGCUUGUUUGGCCAAGUGACUGCACACACAUGCAUUGACGUAAAAGGAAAUUGGCCAGUUGCUUCUCUCUCAGCAGAAUCACAGCACACCAUGACCUCAUUUUCCAACACCAAGUUAUCUGAAUGAUCAUUUAAUCUGAAAGUUCACAGUGUUGAAAAAGACCAGUGAUAUUGAGGUUUGACUCUCAGUUUUGAACUGUUUAAACUUAUUUGCUAUUUUAUCAGCAUAACUGCAAGGAAUUCAGCAUAAGUGACCAUGACGAUGAUAUGUCAUAUUACAUUACAUUACAUUACAUUUAUGGUAUUUGGCAGACGUCCUUAUCCAGAGCGACGUACAUUUAUCUCAGUUAUACAUCUGAGCAAUUGAGGGUUAAGGGACUUGCUCAAGGGCAAUGGCAAUGAUGGUGUUGGAGUUUGAACUAACGACGUCCUGAGCAGAAGAACAACACCUUAACCACUGAGCUGCACUGCCCUGUCUUAUAUAUUGUGGGAUCUUGUGCAGUGGGGUCUGGUUGCUGGGUGUUUGUAUUACGAAUAGAAAAAUGGUUCUGGGGUUUUACUCUCAGAGGGUGGGUGGAAGUUUCUAACAAUUUCUGUCUAUCUCAAUGUAAUCAUCAGGAACCUGCAGCCAGUCCAUUUUAGUUCUAUUCCAUCAAGCUAGAUCUUGGUAAUUAGGAUUUAAAUGAAAAGUCGCCACUGUGCUGAGAACUAAUAUCAUACCAGACCCACGGAUUCAAGGGAUGUGUACUUGGCUCAGUAUUUUUGGGAUGUGCAAGAAAAAUCUUCCAACUGACUCGUAGCUGGAGCUGGGUUCCAAAUGUAGGUUAUCUGGUCCUCUGCAUUGUUAGAGAAAUACUGGCCUGGUGAAGUUUGCUGGUUUGUACUGUCACCUACUGUAACAUAACACAGUAUGUGGAUAAAGCACGUCCUACAGACAUUACUGGUGUUCAUUUUGAUACAGCUAAAUGUAUUUUGACUGAAACUUCUCCAUUGCUGGGAUUUUUGAUUUUCUGAGCAGGUAUUUUACCUCUUAAUGCCUGUGGCAUGGGUUUUUCAAUCUCUUAACAUAAGGCUGUACUGUUUGAUUUGCUUGUUCCGUCAUACCAAGAAAUUUAACCAUACUUGCCUUAAUGAACAUGCUUGAGAAGUUUACAAUCCUAAGACUAGCCUUGAUUUAAUUGUACAUACACAAUCUUACACUGCCAUGAAGUCCAAUGAUGUUUACUCUGAUUAUAUUACCAACCAUGCUAAACUUCACACAUUUUGCAUAGGAGCUGUACAAUUUUACCACUAUCAAUAUACACAAAUUUAUGAUCAAAAAUGGUAAGAAAUGCCACUUUCUUUUUGUUCGAUAGAGAAAAAAUGUGAAAAUGAAAUAAAAAAAUUAGAAAAAAAGAAAAAAAAUUCUUACCUAAAUAAAUAUUGAAUAGGCUUACCACAGAUCUGCAAACAAGUCUUUUUUCACCCUCUUCUACAGUUACUGGGUGACUCUCUACGUUUGUUUCUGCAGGAAGGUUCUGUUGCGAAGUUGGCAUCCAGAGCUAGCAAUUUCCAUCUGGAUGCUAUGUCUACUCCUCUGAUUAAAACAUGUCUUCUUUCUCCAUACCCACACAUAGGUAAUGCUUCUCUCUUUGUUCUGGCUCUGUUCCCACCAACUUGAAAUUGGCUACAAUCCAGUUCUUAAAAAGCCAGGGCUUGACCCAGUGGAGCUCAGUAAUUACAGGUCUAUUUCCAACCAGCCUUUUCUGGGCAAGCUAUCCAUGUGAGCAUGUGGUAGCAGCUUAGCCCAAAGAAUGC
Long non-coding RNA from Ictalurus punctatus (channel catfish), 6094 nucleotides. The record is from Ensembl. Lineage: Eukaryota; Metazoa; Chordata; Actinopteri; Siluriformes; Ictaluridae.